CAGGGUGGAGAAGGGCUGCAGAUGAGUCCUGUGGCUACAGAUCCCCCAGGCACCGUCCUGAUCAGGAACGUUGGGUUCGCUCUCCCUUUCUUGGCCUGGAUGUUUACUCUCCCUUGCAUGGGCAGCCUGUGGGGGCGUUCCCAGUCGGCCCCCUUCCCUGCCAGCCUGCUCAACCUCGUCCGCCCUGCGUUCCGUCAGUCCCCUUUCUCACUGGACUGCUGGGGCCGCCUGUCUGUCACUGAUAUCUGACCCUGGAAUAAUCAUCUCUCAGCUCCUCACAAUCCCACUCUGCUGGGCCCACGGUGCCAAAACAGCCGGGAAGUCCCUCCCCAAAAUAAGAGUCACUACUGCCCCUCUGUCCCAGGAUUCCUGGCUGUGUUCGUCUCCCUGGUUCUCAUCCUUUGAAGUGGGAGUUCACCUGUGUGCUCAGGGCCCUGCCAUCCACUGGAAUGCAAGACAGAUCCCUCAGGGCAGGGAUUUGUCUCUUUGUUCCCAGCUGCUUCCCCAGUGCCUAGAAAAAC
Choloepus didactylus (southern two-toed sloth) is the source of this 521-nucleotide long non-coding RNA. RefSeq lists it as uncharacterized. The record is from RefSeq and is a predicted model, not a curated record. NCBI's taxonomy places the organism in Eukaryota, Metazoa, Chordata, Mammalia, Pilosa, Megalonychidae. The transcript has 3 exons.